CGGGGCGUAGCGCAGCCUGGUAGCGCACCGCACUGGGGGUGCGGCGGUCGGAGGUUCAAAUCCUCUCGCCC
RNAcentral lists this transfer RNA (71 nucleotides) under Gammaproteobacteria bacterium. RNAcentral's name for it is "tRNA-Pro". It matches the Rfam family "tRNA". Rfam says of the family: Transfer RNA (tRNA) molecules are approximately 80 nucleotides in length. Their secondary structure includes four short double-helical elements and three loops (D, anti-codon, and T loops). Further hydrogen bonds mediate the characteristic L-shaped molecular structure. tRNAs have two regions of fundamental functional importance: the anti-codon, which is responsible for specific mRNA codon recognition, and the 3' end, to which the tRNAs corresponding amino acid is attached (by aminoacyl-tRNA synthetases). tRNAs cope with the degeneracy of the genetic code in two manners: having more than one tRNA (with a specific anti-codon) for a particular amino acid; and 'wobble' base-pairing, i.e. permitting non-standard base-pairing at the 3rd anti-codon position. The record is from RNAcentral. Lineage: Bacteria; Pseudomonadati; Pseudomonadota; Gammaproteobacteria.